RNAcentral lists this transfer RNA (136 nucleotides) under Aspergillus fischeri NRRL 181. Its description in RNAcentral is "tRNA-OTHER". It matches the Rfam family "tRNA". Rfam says of the family: Transfer RNA (tRNA) molecules are approximately 80 nucleotides in length. Their secondary structure includes four short double-helical elements and three loops (D, anti-codon, and T loops). Further hydrogen bonds mediate the characteristic L-shaped molecular structure. tRNAs have two regions of fundamental functional importance: the anti-codon, which is responsible for specific mRNA codon recognition, and the 3' end, to which the tRNAs corresponding amino acid is attached (by aminoacyl-tRNA synthetases). tRNAs cope with the degeneracy of the genetic code in two manners: having more than one tRNA (with a specific anti-codon) for a particular amino acid; and 'wobble' base-pairing, i.e. permitting non-standard base-pairing at the 3rd anti-codon position. Lineage: Eukaryota; Fungi; Ascomycota; Eurotiomycetes; Eurotiales; Aspergillaceae. The record is from Rfam by way of RNAcentral.
GGCAAGAUGGCCGAGUGGUUAAGGCGGUGAGUGUUUCCAUGUGUCCUGUUUGUCUUUCGACAUCUCAGCUAAUGAUCACCCAGUUACGUUUAGGCCGUAAUGGGAAACCGCGUGGGUUCGAAUCCCACUCUUGUCA